Dendrobium catenatum is the source of this 873-nucleotide long non-coding RNA. RefSeq lists it as uncharacterized. The transcript is spliced from 3 exons. Lineage: Eukaryota; Viridiplantae; Streptophyta; Magnoliopsida; Asparagales; Orchidaceae. The record is from RefSeq and is a predicted model, not a curated record.
UUGAAAGAUUUUUAAAAUACCAAUUCCCCCCCCCCCCCUCUUUGUUAGCCUUGAGAUUAGUUCAUAAAGGCUUAACAACCCUAACGAACUUUUAGACCUUGCGGAUUUCCAAAUAUUUUCUCUUAGAUGUCACAUGGCAGUUUUCAUUUCAUGGAUCUCCAAAAGCUUAUUUGAAUAUCAUGCUGAGAUUUUCAUUUUGCGGAUCUCUAUAGGAUCAUUUCGAUGUCACGCUGAGGUCUUAAUUUUUUUAGAUUUUCUAGAGUCUAUCUCGGUGUCUUCAUAAAUCUUUAGAUGUAAUAAUACAGUUGACAAUCUGGCUUUAGUCAAGUAGAGACUCAUAGGAUAGUGACAUAACACUUCAUACUCAGCUCUCUAAAGUGUUACUUUGUAGAUUAAUGAUAGUAUAUAGUAUUGUCACCUUGUGUUAUUCUUUUGUCACCACUGCCACCUUAAUUUCCAUUAUUUUUAUAUAUGCUCAAUAUUUAUCAUCAUUGCAACCAUAUAUAAAUGUAACAUCUAUGUUAUAUAAUUGCAGGUCUUAUUUUAGAGUCACCCCCAGCUUUGCAAGUUCACUAGCCAGCAGGUCUUUUGCUGCUUCAGGUUUUCUACAAUUUUCUUUGACUUAGGUUUCAGGAGUAUAACACUAGUUUGUGAGUUACUGCAGGAGACCUUGGUUUAGGUCCUAGAGGUGCAGAGUGUCUAAUCUUUGGAAGGAGCAUAGUGAAGCUCGACUUCCUUUUCAGGCAUAAAUUUAAGAUAUAGACUUUAGUCUUCUAUGAAUGACAUUGUACUUUUUUCUUUCCUUGUUAUAAACUUGUAAAGAGAUGUAAUUUAAAUUUACAUACAAAUUUUUUAAUCAAUAAAAUAAAGCGA